GUCCACGCCUUAAACUAUGAAUACUAAGUGUCGGCGGUUUACCGCCGGUGCCGCAGCUAACGCAUUAAGUAUUCCGCUGGGAAGUACGGCCGCAAGGUUGAAACUCAAAGGAAUUGACGGGGGCCCGCACAAGCGGUGGAUCAUGUGGUUUAAUUCGACGCAACGCGAAGAACCUUACCCAGGCUGGACAUGCAGGUAGUAGAAGGGUGAAAGCCCAACGAGGUAGCAAUACCAUCCUGCUCAGGUGCUGCAUGGCUGUCGU
Molecule: ribosomal RNA, 262 nt
Filed under: uncultured bacterium
Lineage: Bacteria
Description: partial 16S ribosomal RNA
Rfam family: Bacterial small subunit ribosomal RNA
Source: RNAcentral